GGGUGUAUAGCUCAAGUGGCAGAGCACAUGCUUAGCAGGCAUGAGGACCUGGGUUCAAUCCCCAGAACCACCU
RNAcentral lists this transfer RNA (73 nucleotides) under Camelus bactrianus (Bactrian camel). It matches the Rfam family "tRNA". From Rfam's summary of the family: Transfer RNA (tRNA) molecules are approximately 80 nucleotides in length. Their secondary structure includes four short double-helical elements and three loops (D, anti-codon, and T loops). Lineage: Eukaryota; Metazoa; Chordata; Mammalia; Artiodactyla; Camelidae. RNAcentral also lists the same sequence under 2 other names. The record is from Rfam by way of RNAcentral.